CCUGGUUGAUCCUGCCAGUAGUCAUAUGCUUGUCUCAAAGAUUAAGCCAUGCAUGUCUAAGUAUAAGCGACACUUUUACAUCGAAACUGCGAAUGGCUCAUUAUAUCAGUUAAAAUCUACAGUGUGGUACCAAUUACUACAUGGAUAACCGUGGUAAUUCUAGAGCUAAUACAUGCAUUAAAUCCCGACUUUUUGGAAGGGAUGUAUUUAUUAGAUAAAAAACCAACCCAGGUUUUCCUGGAGUUUUUAGGUGAAUCAUAAUAACUGUACGAAUCGUAUGACUUUAUGUCGACGAUGCACACUUCGAUUUUCUGCCCUAUCAACUUUCGAUAGUAGGAUAGAGGCCUACCAUGGUUGCAACGGGUAACGGGGAAUUGGGGUUCGAUUCCGGAGAGGGAGCCUGAGAAACGGCUACCACAUCCAAGGAAGGCAGCAGGCGCGCAAAUUACCCAAUUCCGACACGGAGAGGUAGUGACAAUAAAUAACAAUACAGGAUUCUUUAGAGUCUUGUAAUUGGAAUGAGUACAAUUUAAACCACUUAACGAGAAACAAUUGGAGGGCAAGUCUGGUGCCAGCAGCCGCGGUAAUUCCAGCUCCAAUAGCGUAUAUUAAAGUUGUUGCAGUUAAAAAGCUCGUAGUCGAAAUUCGGACCUUGUCCACUUGGUCUACCUGUUAUGGGUACGUACUGGGUGUUGGCAGGUCAAACCUUUCCGGUGGGCUGGUCAUGCUCUUCAUUGAGUGUGGCCUAGCCAACGGAGCUUUUACCUUGAAUAAAUUAGAGUGUUUAAAGCAGGCGUUACAAGCUUGAAUACAUUAGCAUGGAAUAAUAAAGUAGGACCUUGGUUCUA
This 848-nucleotide ribosomal RNA is filed under the name uncultured eukaryote. RNAcentral's name for it is "bacterial SSU rRNA". It matches the Rfam family "Eukaryotic small subunit ribosomal RNA", at positions 3 to 838 of the family's 1831-position model. The record is from RNAcentral.